This 2212-nucleotide long non-coding RNA is filed under the name Danio rerio (zebrafish). RNAcentral's name for it is "lncRNA (ENSDARG00000117721.1)". Lineage: Eukaryota; Metazoa; Chordata; Actinopteri; Cypriniformes; Danionidae. The record is from RNAcentral.
UGUUCUCAAAUUACUAUGCUCAUUACAAUAAAAGCUAAUAAACAUAAUUAGACACUUAUUUUUACUUUAUUGGCACUAUUUAAAAAUUAAACAUUAUUAAUAGAAACAAAUAUUAAACCAUGCACAACAAACACUAUUAACACUUCCGCACAAACAAGCAGACGCAGCAUAACGCAUCUUGUGAGGUGGAGGCUCCGCCCAUAGAACGAAUCGCGCCCCGUUGCUAUAGCAACUCUGGAACUUUGGAAUGCGAUUUCUCUGAUUCUCUGGAUUUGUCUGUUGGCUCUCAAAUAUUUACAUGUGUAUUUCUAUGGUUGACUCUUACGACACCCACACUGCAAGUUGCAAAUUGACUGUACAUUUUACAGCAGUAAUUAACAUCACAGUAUCUCAGUUAUACUGUACAUCUCCCAUGAUGGAGAAGAAAUGCAAAAAGAACUUUUGGACGACACUUUUUGGCAAUAAAAGAGCUAGUAAAAAAUCCAGCAGUAACACUAGCUCCAGUGAAGCUGAGAAGAAGGACCAGGGUGUGGAUGCUGCCAUGCUACAGUCUCUAAAAGAUGCUGAGGAAGCUGCAGUCCACACCAGGUCUGACUGGAAUGCUAAUGGGGCGCAAGAAAGACAGAAGGAGAAAUCCAAGAGCAAAAAGAACCUCUGGAAAGUCCUCCUCAAAGCUGUUGGCUGCUCUAACAUUGACACUGCCCUCGUCAAUGACGCCACUGAAAAGCCCUUUGAGCCCAACUGGACUGCUGAAACCCCUGAAGAUCUGUUCAGCAUUAAGUCCAACAGCAUUGAUGAUGUCUCUGAAGCUCCGGUCAGCUUGGAGUUUAGCAGCAUUGAUGACACCCCUGAAGUUCUGGUCAGCACUGAUUCCGACUGGAUUGCAGACACCCUUGAGGCUCUGGACAGCGUUUGGUCCAAAUGGGUCGCUGAGCCCCGUAUAGCAUCAGUCAACAUUGAGUCUGACUGGAUUGCUUAUGACCAUAAAACUCCUGUCAGUAUGGUUUCCAAUUGGAUUGCUGACUGUAUUCCUGAAGUCAAUAAAUAUCCAGUCAGCAUAGAAUCCAACUGGACUGCUGACGCACCUGCAGUCCCUGAGGCCUCUGAAAGUCCAGUCUGUGUGGUGUCCGGCUGUGCUCCUGAUGUCUGUGAAACCUAUGAAGGUCCAGUCUGCAUGGUGUCUGACUGUGUUCCUGAUACCUCUGAUGGUCCAGUCUGUGAGGUGUCAGACUGUGUUCCUGAUGCUUCUGAGGCCCCUGAGAGUGCAGUCUGCAUGGUGUCAGGCUGUGUUCCUGAUGCUUCAGAGGCCCAUGAAGGUCCACUCUGUGUGGUGUCCGACUGUGCUCCUGAUGUCUCUGAAGCCUAUGAAGGUCCAGUCUGCAUGGUGUCUGACUGUGUUCCUGAUACCUCUGAUGGUCCAGUCUGUGAGGUGUCCGACUGUGUUCCGGACGCUUCUGAGGCCCCUGAGAGUGCAGACUGCACGGUGUCCGGCUGUGUUCCUGAUGCUUCAGAGGCCCAUGAAGGUCCACUCUGUGUGGUAUCCGACUGUGCUCCUGAUGUCUCUGAAGCCUAUGAAGGUCCAGUCUGUGUUGUGUCGGACUGUGUUUCUGAUGCUUCUGAGGACCCUGAGAGUGCAGUCUGCAUGGUGUCCGGCUUUGUUCCUGAUGCUUCUGAGGUCCAUACAGGUCCAGUCUGUGUGGUGUCUGACUGUGUUCCUGAUUCCUCUGAGGGUCAUGAAGAUCCAGUCUGCAUGGUGUCUGACUGUGUUCCUGGUGCCUUUGUAUCUCCGGUCUGCAUUAAGCCUGCCUGUACUGCUGGGGCCCCUGAUGCUGGACCCAGAUUGAGUCAGACUGAAGUGCUGACCCCCUUCGACAUCCAACUCCCACUGAGUUCGACUGGAGUGCUGACCCCUCUGAAGCUCUGGUCUGCGCUGAGUCUGACUGGACUGCUGAGGCCCUGGAAGCUUCGGUCAGCAUUGAGUCAGGUGGGAGUACAGACACCCUGGAAGCUCCGGAUGGCAUUGAGUCCAGUUGGAGUGCUGAUGCCCUUCAACCUACAGCUUGCACUGAGGCAGAUUGGACUACUGGAGCCCUUCAACUGCACUUUUUAGUCCAUAUUUCCAUCUACAUUUUAUCAUAUUAUCUUAUAUAUAAUAUUAUGUGUAAUAUAAUUGUUGUGUAAAUAAAAUUUGUUUGCAAUCAAAAUUAAAUGG